RNAcentral lists this ribosomal RNA (1468 nucleotides) under Bacillus sp. (in: firmicutes). Its description in RNAcentral is "bacterial SSU rRNA". It matches the Rfam family "Bacterial small subunit ribosomal RNA". The record is from RNAcentral. Lineage: Bacteria; Bacillati; Bacillota; Bacilli; Caryophanales; Bacillaceae.
GGGAUGGCGGGUGCUAUACAUGCAGUCGAGCGGACCGACGGGAGCUUGCUCCCUUAGGUCAGCGGCGGACGGGUGAGUAACACGUGGGUAACCUGCCUGUAAGACUGGGAUAACUCCGGGAAACCGGGGCUAAUACCGGAUGCUUGAUUGAACCGCAUGGUUCAAUCAUAAAAGGUGGCUUUUAGCUACCACUUACAGAUGGACCCGCGGCGCAAUAGCUAGUUGGUGAGGUAACGGCUCACCAAGGCGACCAUUCGUAGCCCACCUGAGAGGGUGAUCGGCCACACUGGGACUGAGACACGGCCCAGACUCCUACGGGAGGCAGCAGUAGGGAAUCUUCCGCAAUGGACGAAAGUCUGACGGAGCAACGCCCCGUGAGUGAUGAAGGUUUUCGGAUCGUAAAACUCUGUUGUUAGGGAAGAACAAGUACCGUUCGAAUAGGGCGGUACCUUGACGGUACCUAACCAGAAAGCCACGGCUAAYUACGUGCCAGCAGCCGCGGUAAUACGUAGGUGGCAAGCGUUGUCCGGAAUUAUUGGGCGUAAAGCGCGCGCAGGCGGUUUCUUAAGUCUGAUGUGAAAGCCCCCGGCUCAACCGGGGAGGGUCAUUGGAAACUGGGGAACUUGAGUGCAGAAGAAGAGAGUGGAAUUCCACGUGUAGCGGUGAAAUGCGUAGAGAUGUGGAGGAACACCAGUGGCGAARGCGACUCUCUGGUCUGUAACUGACGCUGAGGCGCGAAAGCGUGGGGGAGCGAACAGGAUUAGAUACCCCUGGUAGUCCACGCCGUAAACGAUGAGUGCUAAGUGGUUAGAAGGGUUUCCGCCCCUUUAGUGCUGCAGCAAACGCAUUAAGCACUCCGCCUGGGGGAGUACGGUCGCAAGACUGAAACUCAAAGGGAAUUGACGGGGGGCCCGCACAAGCGGUGGAAGCAUGGUGGUUUAAUUCGAAGCAACGCGGAAGAACCUUUACCAGGUCUUGACAUCCUCCUGACAACCCUAGAGAUAGGGCUUCCCCUUCGGGGGCAGAGUGACAGGUGGUGCAUGGUUGUCGUCAGCUCGUGUCGUGAGAUGUUGGGUUAAGUCCCGCAACGAGCGCAACCCUUGAUCUUAGUUGCCAGCAUUCAGUUGGGCACUCUAAGGUGACUGCCGGUGACAAACCGGAGGAAGGUGGGGAUGACGUCAAAUCAUCAUGCCCCUUAUGACCUGGGCUACACACGUGCUACAAUGGGCAGAACAAAGGGCAGCGAAGCCGCGAGGCUAAGCCAAUCCCACAAAUCUGUUCUCAGUUCGGAUCGCAGUCUGCAACUCGACUGCGUGAAGCUGGAAUCGCUAGUAAUCGCGGAUCAGCAUGCCGCGGUGAAUACGUUCCCGGGCCUUGUACACACCGCCCGUCACACCACGAGAGUUUGUAACACCCGAAGUCGGUGAGGUAACCUUUGGAGCCAGCCGCCGAAGGUGACAGAAAUUUU